UACGUAGGGUGCGAGCGUUAAUCGGAAUUACGUGGGCGUAAAGCGUGCGCUAGGCGGUGAUGUAAGACAGAUGUGAAAUCCCCGGGCUCAACCUGGGACCUGCAUUUGUGACUGCAUCGCUAGGAGUACGGCAGAGGGGGAUGGAAUUCCGGCGUGUAAGCAGUGAAAUGCGUAGAUAUGCGGAGGAACACCGAUGGCGAAGGCAA
RNAcentral lists this ribosomal RNA (206 nucleotides) under uncultured bacterium. Its description in RNAcentral is "partial 16S ribosomal RNA". It matches the Rfam family "Bacterial small subunit ribosomal RNA", at positions 524 to 724 of the family's 1533-position model. The record is from RNAcentral.